This 357-nucleotide ribosomal RNA is filed under the name uncultured bacterium. Its description in RNAcentral is "bacterial SSU rRNA". It matches the Rfam family "Bacterial small subunit ribosomal RNA", at positions 917 to 1271 of the family's 1533-position model. The record is from RNAcentral.
GGGCCCGCACAAGCGGUGGAGCAUGUGGUUUAAUUCGAUGCAACGCGAGGAACCUUACCUAGGCUUGACAUCCUGGGAAGUUUUGGGAAACCAAUUCGUGCCCUUCGGGGAACCCAGUGACAGGUGUUGCAUGGCUGUCGUCAGCUCGUGUCGUGAGAUGUUGGGUUAAGUCCCGCAACGAGCGCAACCCUUGUCCCUAGUUACCAGCGGGUUAUGCCGGGAACUCUAGGGAGACUGCCGCUGAUAAGGCGGAGGAAGGUGGGGACGACGUCAAGUCAUCAUGGCCCUUACGCCUAGGGCUACACACGUGCUACAAUGGCCGGUACAAUGGGCUGCCAAGCCGCGAGGUGGAGCUAA